GACGAACGCUGGCGGCGUGCCCAAUACAAGCAAGUAGAACGCAGUUGCGAACGGGUGAGUAACGCGUAGGUAACCUGCCUCAUAGCGGGGGAUAACAAUAGGAAACGCUAGCUAAAACCGCAUAAGGUGGGAUGGACCUGCGUUGUAUUAGCUAGUUGGUGAGGUAAAGGCUCACCAAGGCGACGAUACAUAGCCGACAUGAGAGGGUGAUCAGCCAACCUGGGCCGGAGACACGGCCCAGACUCCUACGGGAGGCAGCAGUAGGGAAUCUUCGGCAAUUGACGGAAGUCUGACCGCGCAACGCCGCGUGAGUGAAGAAGGUUUUCGGAUCGUAAAGCUCUUUUGUUAGAGAAGCGGUACCUAACCAGAAAGGGACGGCUAACUACGUGCCAGCAGCCGCGGUAAUUC
RNAcentral lists this ribosomal RNA (408 nucleotides) under uncultured bacterium. RNAcentral describes it as "partial 16S ribosomal RNA". It matches the Rfam family "Bacterial small subunit ribosomal RNA", at positions 28 to 526 of the family's 1533-position model. The record is from RNAcentral.